This 101-nucleotide non-coding RNA is filed under the name unclassified sequences. Its description in RNAcentral is "Methylobacterium-1 RNA". It matches the Rfam family "Methylobacterium-1 RNA". The record is from RNAcentral. RNAcentral also lists the same sequence under 1 other name.
AAGACUAAAACGGUAGCAAAUAUUGUUAGUAAGACGGGGGAGAAAUAACCCCCAUAGAAUAUAAAAGGUAAUCACAUCUGCAUUAUAUUCUAACCGAAGGU